Molecule: long non-coding RNA, 1007 nt
Organism: Brienomyrus brachyistius
Lineage: Eukaryota; Metazoa; Chordata; Actinopteri; Osteoglossiformes; Mormyridae
Exons: 4
Source: RefSeq, a predicted model, not a curated record
GGAAAAAACGUUUAGGGAAGGGAGAGAGGCACUCGGGACGGGGGGGAUAGUAGUCGGUGAUAAGGCGUAGGGAGUUAUUAUUCGGGAUUGGGAAUAGUGGGAAUCGGUGUGAUGAGUCAGAAUUGGGGUGAUAGACCAGGUUCUUACAAAGCCGUCGCUUGAUCCGCAGUGGUCACCAGCGAACCUGUUCAUACAUAUGGAGAAGUCCAGUGCAUCAUGGGAAGUCCAACGCGUGACAGGAAGCUCCCCUCUUUUGUACCUGGACCCGGACUGGCAAGCGAGGAGCCAGAGCACGUAGACAAACAGGGCGGAUCAGGUUCCUGGCAGAGUCAUUCCUAGUUUGCCUUUUUUGUUUUCAAAUUACAUCACACUUCAGCAGACGGAUAACCCAGGAAAUGGAGAUGUCUAAGGCAGCUUCAGAGUUCAAAGGUCAGCACGUCUGUUUGAAGUCCUGCGUCUGUCAUUGCAGUUCGUCUUCAGGAAAACUCUCACGAUCUUUAUCUUCCAUUCAGAAACCAGAAAGUGUCUGCUAGCAUCUUUCUUACUUUUGUAACUUGUGUAUGAAUUGGAUCAUUAGAAAAUGUGGUGGAUUUCAAUCUGGUCCUGGAGUAUCUUCAGUUUUUACCCGUUUUUGUUAAAAACCAGCUUCUGCUGUGAAGUUUUGAUCAGUGUCCUAUACUUCGAGGCAGAGGUUCUAGGCUACAUGUAACCUGGCACUGGGCAAGUCGGGUGGAUGAUGGGACUGCGCCCGUGUGAAAUUCUGUUUGUGCUAAAGGUGUGGUUUGGGUUCAAAUCCCACUACUAUGGCUUUACCUUCACUUUUAUUAGUUAGUCCAGUACAGAUACUUGUGGUUUAGAAGAGUUUGUAUCCAAGCUGAGCUGGACUGACAUCCCUUGGAUGAUGGCCUGUGCCUCAAGCCCUGUUUUUUAGGAUUAAAAUGUCACUUCCUGUUAGAGUCAUUAGUGUACAUGACAUUGUGUCUUUUAAAAUGGAACAUGUUACUUUG